AUUCACGGCGCUUUAACAUGAUCCAGGUGAUGUUAGCGUCCUGCUAGUGGUCCACGUGGUCCACGAUGAGGAGGUGGAUUCGGCCCCACCCCCUGCUACAGUGAGCCAAUGAGCUCAGUCACACAAAACAGUGCUGACGUCAGCAGUCUCCGGGACAAAGGAGGGAUCCAAGCAGGCAGGCUGUGAGGAUGGCGAGGGUGGUCCACCACAGUGCGAUGAGCAACCACCAGCGCCAGGCUUGACGUCAGAAGGAUGAGUGGUGCACUCCAGAAGGUUCUGUGAGCUCAGAGCCUCCCGGAUCUUCCUGAGAGAAGAGAAGAGAAAGCACGAAGCACUCACACCUGCUCUUGAGAGCCUUGACCAGAAGUGGCAGAAGUCAUUCUCCGGCACCAGCCUGUCAUGUGACCCCAUUAACCUGCAGGAGGCCUGCAAGUGCAGUCCCAGGUGCCUGGAAGAAGCAGAGAACCACAGAUGGGUAAAUAAUACACUCUGAACCAUAAUUCAGUGGAAAUCAGUCAUUGAAAGAUGCGAAAGAACUCAUCAAAAGGAAGCCAUUUACAAAUCAGGUAGACCUUGAUUACUUAUCUCAGGUACUCCACCAGAGUAGUGUUUUAGCAUUAUUUCCUUCUUGUUUUGGUGGAAGGCCAACCAGAAAUUCCCAGGUUUUAAGAUGAAGCAUCUGCAUAGGUAUAAAGUCUUGCCUCAUGUAUCCACUCUGAGCUUCUCUGCGAGAAUAUAUCAAACUGUGAUCCUCGGCUUCCAUCAGGAGACUCUUCAAUAGUCCAUUUCUCCUUCUAGAAAACUUCUAUUGUGUUCUGGCUACAGAGACUAGGACCAUGGCAAAUAAGAUCUUGAAAUUCAAAAUAAAGACUGUGGUCUGAGUUUGCUGAAUUGAAUUGAAUCCUCCAUUAAAUUAGGCACACAUGAUGCAGAAACUUGUUGGUUUUUUUUUAGGCAAGUUAAAGAGCUACUUUCUUGUAAAAGCACCUGGCACAGUUCUUGG
Molecule: long non-coding RNA, 1003 nt
Filed under: Capra hircus (goat)
Lineage: Eukaryota; Metazoa; Chordata; Mammalia; Artiodactyla; Bovidae
Description: lncRNA (ENSCHIG00000007952.1)
Source: RNAcentral